RNAcentral lists this ribosomal RNA (465 nucleotides) under Vreelandella stevensii. Its description in RNAcentral is "partial 16S ribosomal RNA". It matches the Rfam family "Bacterial small subunit ribosomal RNA", at positions 338 to 795 of the family's 1533-position model. Lineage: Bacteria; Pseudomonadati; Pseudomonadota; Gammaproteobacteria; Oceanospirillales; Halomonadaceae. The record is from RNAcentral.
CCUACGGGUGGCUGCAGUGGGGAAUAUUGGACAAUGGGGGCAACCCUGAUCCAGCCAUGCCGCGUGUGUGAAGAAGGCCCUCGGGUUGUAAAGCACUUUCAGUGAGGAAGAACGCCUGGUGGUUAAUACCCAUCAGGAAAGACAUCACUCACAGAAGAAGCACCGGCUAACUCCGUGCCAGCAGCCGCGGUAAUACGGAGGGUGCGAGCGUUAAUCGGAAUUACUGGGCGUAAAGCGCGCGUAGGUGGCUUGAUAAGCCGGUUGUGAAAGCCCCGGGCUCAACCUGGGAACGGCAUCCGGAACUGUCAAGCUAGAGUGCAGGAGAGGAAGGUAGAAUUCCCAGUGUAGCGGUGAAAUGCGUAGAGAUCGGGAGGAAUACCAGUGGCGAAGGCGGCCUUCUGGACUGACACUGACACUGAGGUGCGAAAGCGUGGGUAGCAAACAGGAUUAGAUACCCGUGUAGUC